GAUCUCCUGACCUCGUGACCUGCCCAGCUCGGCCUCCCAAAGUGCUGGGAUUACAGGCAUGAGCCAUUGCGCCUAACCUCAGAAACCAUUUUUAUAACCUCAAUACCUAAUAGAAACUGGCACAUGGACUGUGUGCGAAAUGUUCAAACUUGCUCACUGGGUUAAAAAGGAUGGACAGCUUAGAGAAAAAGAAGAAAAAAAGGAAACUCGGCUGUGCGCAGUGACUCAUGCCUAUAAUGCCAGCACUUUGGGAGGCCAAGGCAACUUUGCAAAUUAAAUGGUUCACAUAUGAAGGAGCACAGCUGUAGAAGGAAAAUAAGGAAGAGAAAAUAACUUCGGAAAAUUCCCAGGACUCAUACUCUAAAGCCCCUGUGAGCUGUGACUGCAAGAGUCAGCACCUAAAUUAGAUCAACACUACAACAUCAAAAAGCCAGCUUGAUGGCACAGCGGGGAGUGAGGAAGACUCGGUGGACAAAUCUGACUGGAAAACAAGUAGGCGUUGCAGAUGAAGACCUGGAACCAUGGUAGGAAGUGGGACAGGGAGCAUUUGGACAAGCUGUUCAAGAACUGAUCAUGCUCAUGUGUAUGGGAAAACAGAUGGAGGAAGAGAAAUUCCUGAAGAGCACAAGACUGGUGGGGCAAGGAACAAGCCUACUGAGAUGAGUUGCAGAUUUGAAGAUGGGAGAAAUGGUUUCGUUGUCUACCAUGUAAAAACUCAUUUAUGCAAGAUGCUUGAUAUCUGAAUUUCAAUUUCUUCAUUAUCAAAAUGAAUAUUAAAAAUACUCUACUUCUUAGAGUUGUCAAAAAGAUACGGAGAUGUGAAUAAUUUGAAAUUAUUAUCUAUAUGUAAAGUAUUACUAUAUUUACUAUCCUUAUCAAAUAUUUAUCCUACUGUCUAACACAUUAAAUGGACAAAAUAGAACAUUUGAAGGGUGUAGAUCUUGAAAGUUUAAUUUUACAUAAAAAAGGCCAGAAACCUUUCCUAAGAAAAAUGUACAUAUUGCAAAAUGUAGC
RNAcentral lists this long non-coding RNA (1014 nucleotides) under Homo sapiens (human). Its description in RNAcentral is "HSALNT0306410". The record is from RNAcentral. Lineage: Eukaryota; Metazoa; Chordata; Mammalia; Primates; Hominidae.